GACGAACGCUGGCGGCGUGCCUAAUACAUGCAAGUCGAACGAGAGCGACCGGUGCUUGCACUGGUCAAUCUAGUGGCGAACGGGUGAGUAACACGUGGGUAACCUGCCCAUCAGAGGGGGAUAACAUCCGGAAACGGAUGCUAAUACCGCAUAAGUCUUCGAACCGCAUGGUUUGAAGAGGAAAAGAGGCGCAAGCUUCUGCUGAUGGAUGGACCCGCGGUGCAUUAGCUAGUUGGUGAGGUAACGGCUCACCAAGGCCGUGAUGCAUAGCCGACCUGAGAGGGUGAUCGGCCACAUUGGGACUGAGACACGGCCCAAACUCCUACGGGAGGCAGCAGUAGGGAAUCUUCCGCAAUGGACGCAAGUCUGACGGAGCAACGCCGCGUGAGUGAAGAAGGUUUUCGGAUCGUAAAACUCUGUUGUUAGAGAAGAACAAGUGCUAGAGUAACUGUUAGCGCCUUGACGGUAUCUAACCAGAAAGCCACGGCUAACUACGUG
This 498-nucleotide ribosomal RNA is filed under the name uncultured bacterium. RNAcentral describes it as "partial 16S ribosomal RNA". It matches the Rfam family "Bacterial small subunit ribosomal RNA", at positions 28 to 507 of the family's 1533-position model. The record is from RNAcentral.